ACUGUGCCCUGGAUGUGAGACGUGGAAUCAAGGAGAUUAUUUUGGAGCUUUAAGAUGUAAUGGCACCCUGCUGGGUUUCAGACUUGAGUGGAGCCUGCAGCCUCUUUCUUUCAGCCGAUUUCUCCCUUUUGGGACGGAAGUAUUUACCCAAUGCCUGUACCCCCAUGGUGGCAGCUGAGGCUUACUACCCCAGGAAAGGGAUGCCACCAGAGAAGGCAGACAACCAAGAUGGCGACUCUCAAUUUUUGAGCUCCUAAUUUUCUCAUGUCAGACAUAAGAAAAAAAAAAUAUUUUUUAAAGAAAAAGCUUUAGGUUGCAAAAAUCUAGGCCUUUCAACUUUAAAAUCCUAUUCUUGCAAGCCUUGGAGAAUAAAGCUUAUGCAUAAACAGUAGAUUUGGAAAC
This 402-nucleotide long non-coding RNA is filed under the name Pan troglodytes (chimpanzee). RNAcentral describes it as "lincRNA". The record is from RNAcentral. Lineage: Eukaryota; Metazoa; Chordata; Mammalia; Primates; Hominidae.